Molecule: small nuclear RNA, 293 nt
Filed under: Callithrix jacchus (white-tufted-ear marmoset)
Lineage: Eukaryota; Metazoa; Chordata; Mammalia; Primates; Cebidae
Description: 7SK RNA
Rfam family: 7SK RNA
About the family: 7SK was discovered as an abundant small nuclear RNA in the mid-70s but a possible function has only recently been suggested. Two independent studies have found that 7SK RNA binds the CDK9/cyclin T complex (known as elongation factor P-TEFb).
Source: Rfam by way of RNAcentral
AGAUGUGAGGGUGAUCUGGCUGUGACAUGUCACCCCGUUGAUCUCCAGGGUUGAUUCAGCUGAUCUGGCUGGCUGGCUGGGUGUCCCUUUCUCCCUCACUGCUCCAUGUGUGUCCCUCCUGAAGCUGGGCAUUCCCUGGAAGAGGACAACCAUCACGAUAGAGGACUGGUCAAAGCCAAGAGUAGCUGCGCUCCCCUGCUAGAACCUCCAAACAUCUCCCAAAAAGUGGGGUAGAGACGCAGAUACAGAGGGAGAUUGUUCAGAGGCCUUCACAGGCGUGGUUGUUUUUCUCU